Molecule: long non-coding RNA, 1307 nt
Organism: Cucumis sativus (cucumber)
Lineage: Eukaryota; Viridiplantae; Streptophyta; Magnoliopsida; Cucurbitales; Cucurbitaceae
Exons: 3
Source: RefSeq, a predicted model, not a curated record
UUUUGGAUAAAAAAUGUAAUUUUAAAUGAGUUUUGUACUAGAGAUUUUCAUUUUUCGUCACAUCACCAAUCCUUGUCAUUGACAGAAAAAUUAGUAUGAAAAUGGGUAGGGCUCAUUUUUAAAUAGUUCAAUUGCUCUUUGUAGUCAUUUAGCAGGAAACAUCAUGGAAGAAGGCUUCAGUCUCUGCCUCCUCAUCCCCAUUUCUUUUCAAUUCUUUCUUGCGAAGCGGAAUUCUGAACUCUUCAAACUCAUAACAAGGUAGCAAUUGAAAUCCUUUUUCUGGCCGGGUCUACAGCUUUUGCUUUUAUCGUUCACUUCCUUUGGUUGGUUUGGCUAUUUUGGAGAAGAUUGUCAUUGUACUGCAUCUCCCCAUAGAAGUGUGCUUCGGCUUCAAUUGUGCAAAACAUUGCCCUCCCCACUAUUGGAACCUCUAACCUCAAAGAGAAAAAAGAAUGGAAUACAUGUCAGCUCAAUUAAUUAAUUGAGGUAUGCCUACCCACUUUUAGUCUUAGAUAAUAAUUAUUAUUUAGUUAGAUGGUGUGGUUAAUUUCAUAAGAAUGCAUCACUUACCUAUUAUACAUGUCUAUAAAUCAUUAAUAUUUGAACAUAGUUCAGCUAGCUUUGGUAUGAGGUUUGAAUUUCCCCCUCUACAUCUUGAAUUAAAGAAUAAAGAAUCAAUAAUAUAUGCACAUACAGUAUCAAGCUUUUUCUCUUCUAAAAACUCCCUGCUAGUUCUUUUCUUGAGAGAAGUUCUUUUUUUUUUUUUUUUUUUUUUUUUUUUUUUUUAAAAAAAAUUUUCUGAGCAUUCUUAAUGCUAAGAUUUAGAUUGUGAUUUAGGAUGGGGGCAACAAACUGAAGUGCUGGAGUCUCCCUCCCUUUGACAUGCAAACGUGUUGCCAUCUUAACAUGCCUUUGAAAGUUCCACACAAUAGUGAACAUGAAAUGCCUACAUUUUCUCUCUCUCUCUCUCUAUGUAUAUAUUUCCAGUUGUUUCAUCUUGACAUGCCCACACACACACGCAUGCACACCUCAUACCUAUAUAUAUGUAUAUAUAUUUCUGUUGCAUGCUAAUUUUGUUUUUCAAAAUUUUCUCAUUUUCAAUAAGUAGUCCAAUAGCUAUGGGACGAGAAAUCAAACAUUGGUUUUAUGGAGAUGAAGGUAAUGCCAAUUACAGUUGAGUCAAAUUUAUCUCGACAAUAUGUUGAUACAUAUAUAAGAAAGACUGUAUGUUAAUACUUGUAAAAGAACGAUGAAUGCAAACACUUGAAAGAAUAUUUUUUUUAUAAAGUGACCUAUUGAUAUUCCAA